GGGGGGGAAAGGCGAUCCUGGUGUGACUGGUGACAUCGGACGGAAAGGUUCAAAGGGUUUACGUGGUUUGCCAGGGAGGACAGGCCCUCUGGGUACAGGUGGGAUCAAGGGGGAGAUUGGCGGUACUGGAAGACCAGGAACAGCUGGGGCAGAUGGGCUUCUAGGUCCAAAGGGUGAACGUGGAGACUCCGGCACUGAUGGGCUCAAGGGAAUUUGGGGGCAGAAAG
Elgaria multicarinata webbii is the source of this 227-nucleotide long non-coding RNA. RefSeq lists it as uncharacterized. The transcript is spliced from 4 exons. NCBI's taxonomy places the organism in Eukaryota, Metazoa, Chordata, Lepidosauria, Squamata, Anguidae. The record is from RefSeq and is a predicted model, not a curated record.